This 503-nucleotide ribosomal RNA is filed under the name uncultured bacterium. RNAcentral's name for it is "bacterial SSU rRNA". It matches the Rfam family "Bacterial small subunit ribosomal RNA", at positions 975 to 1482 of the family's 1533-position model. The record is from RNAcentral.
CUACCCUUGACAUGUCUGGAAUUGCGCGGAGAUGUGCAAGUGCCCGAAAGGGAGCCAGAACACAGGUGCUGCAUGGCUGUCGUCAGCUCGUGUCGUGAGAUGUUGGGUUAAGUCCCGCAACGAGCGCAACCCUUGCCAUUAGUUGCUACGAAAGGGCACUCUAAUGGGACUGCCGGUGACAAACCGGAGGAAGGUGGGGAUGACGUCAAGUCCUCAUGGCCCUUAUGGGUAGGGCUACACACGUCAUACAAUGGCUGGUACAGAGGGUUGCCAACCCGCGAGGGGGAGCUAAUCCCAUAAAACCAGUCGUAGUCCGGAUCGUAGUCUGCAACUCGACUGCGUGAAGUCGGAAUCGCUAGUAAUCGCGGAUCAGCAUGUCGCGGUGAAUACGUUCCCGGGUCUUGUACACACCGCCCGCCACACCAUGGGAGCGGGUUCUGCCAGAAGUAGUUAGCCUAACCGCAAGGAGGGCGAUUACCACGGCAGGGUUCGUGACUGGGGUG